CACCACUAGGUUUAUGGACUACCUCGUCUAUGGCAGAGUCGCGUCCAUUAUUUACAGCCUAAAAUAAAUAGAGAGGAACUGUUUCAUAUGCAGUUUUGUCAAGUAAAUAUUUUAUUGAAACGUGUAAUAAAAUGUUGAACUCGCGAGGUUGAUUUAUCACUUAGUUUUAGUGAUUGAACGGAGUAAAAUAUUUGUGAAAUAUUUUAUCAAACAUGAAUUUGCAUUUCUAGUUUCGCUAUGCAUAUGUUGAAUGUGUGAAGAUGGCAGACAGAGAAAGGAUCGGAUUUAUUUUAUGACGUUUGCUGCGAUAUAUGCGAAGAGAAAAAUGUCAAUAAGCAAGCCAUGUUUUAUUGUCAGAAAUGUUCGAAAGGCCUUUGUGACGAGUGUUUAGGGCUUCACAAACACUUUUUCACAAAGCACGUCGCGUAUGGAAGAGAAAAGAUGGAUAAAUGGUCUUUUACAACAAAAUCUUUCGAUGAACUGCAGUUUUGUCUACACCAUCCUGAUCGUCUGAUAGAGAUGUUUUGUGAAGAUCACAGUAAAUAAUGUUGCUCCAUGUGCCACUUCCAUGAACACAGGCCCUGUAUCAAGCUUGUGCUGAUAAAAGACUAAUAAAAAGCAUUCCAUGAUGCGGGGAAUUUCAUAAAAUAUCUGCAACUAUAACCAAUGUUCAACAAGAGCUUAAGACUGCAAUUGAUGAUACACAGGAAUUUCUGAAGAAACUGCUGGAUUCGUAUGAUAAAGCUUAUGAUGAAAUUAAAUUGUUUCGUCAGAAAAUCAACGAUAUACUUGACGAAUUGGAGAGAAGUACAAUAAAUUCCAUGGACACCUGGCUGCAAACAAUGAAAAAGUAUUUACAAAGUGACACAGACAAGUGUUCGAAAGCCACAAACGGUUAAAAGAAAAUCAGCGAUGCGAUCAAUAAUAUAAAAAUGAUCAAAACGAUGUAACAUUUAUAGCGCAACAAAGAGCAUCGGAAAUGGUUUCACAUGCUGAUAGUAUUUUAAAAGAGUUGACUGUUCACAGAAGCACUGUUGUAACGUUUAAGAGCAACCCUAGUAUUGAUGAAACACUAUAAGGGUUUCGUUGCCUUGGAGAUAUUAAAUGUGAUGAAAAGCAGCCGGAUAAAAACAAAAACACGACACUCGAGUGUAGUAACAAAUCGCUUUAUGAUAUCCGAAUCGCAUCUGAUCGUAGUUCAUGCGACAUAAGGAACAUAUGCGGGCAGAAAUCCUUAUAGCGGACAGAGUCAACAUGAGGACGAAAUUGCUUGAUGCGCAGUACAAAGUUGUCACACAUACUGACACAUACUGACCUUAGGUCCUGUCCAUGGGACAUGUGCAGUAUCAGUCCUACCGAGGUCGCUGUUACAGUUGGUGUUUUUGUAAUACUUAAACUGUCCAGUUCCUCACUGUGAACAACAAACAGAAAAUUUAAGGCAGGGAACUGAAAUUCAAACACAAUUGUCAUGGUAUAACACACUUAAACGGCAGUUUGUUUAUCACAUCAAUGACUACCUUGCAUCAGUACACACUGGCUGGUCAGCAGGUGAAGAAGAUCUAUGAAGAUACUUCUCAUGAAUACACAGUUCAUGUGUCCACAUUGAUGACCACAGUGUGUUGCUGCAUCAGCAUAUCUGCCUUGGUGGCGAAGAUGAGGGACUGUUUUGUAAAGUAAAACAUGAAUUCAGUGAUUAUUGACGGAAAACAAUGUUUAAGUGUACAGUUAGUGCGGCUGGAUCAAAGCUGUUUGCUACCAACUACAGUCGCGACAGGCUCCUGACCUUGUCAAUGGAUGGGACUGUCCUGUCAUCCUUGGAAGAUCCUGCACUAAAAGGUCCUAGAGGUCUACACAUAUCACAGACAGGACAGCUGCAGCUGGUCUGUGGACGUGGUUUACAAAACGUGGUCCAGGUGAAUGGUGAGGGUGGAGUAGUGACGCUGGCUUCCAAGACGGAUGAAUUGUGUGAACCAGAGUCUGUAUACUUCAGUGCUUGUACUAGCAGGGUUAUUGUACGUUGGUCAAACCAGUGAUAAAAUUCUGGUUAUCAAGACUUACUAAAACACAAAAUGUAUUUAUUGUAUUGCAUACUUACAUUUUAAUCCACGACAACAGUGCAUAUUACGAAAACAUUUGCUGGUAAGAACAAUCAUACAUAUACAACUCACUCGGUAAUCUGUUUGCUUCAGUUUAAGUUGCUCAUAUUUUUUUUAAUAACACAAGUUAGACAAGUCCAUAAUUUAGUUUUGAACUUAUAAUCUGUUUGGCGCUGUUCCCGAUUAUAGUGUCUAUGUCAGUACAUUGAAAUAUGUCAUUACCAUUCAAAACUGAGCUUAAAUUGUUGGUGUUCUCAUAUUGUUCAAAUAACAUAAGAAGCACAUGUAGGGUACUUAUAAUAAGUGCCAACACUUAAGUACUGUUCAUUACCUAGUUUAAACCUAUUCAUUUUAGCUCAAUUGCAUCGGAAGUCCAAGGCUUAUAAACGCUCUCGAGUUCGUUUCCUGUGCCUAGAAACAGUACUUGGUGUCUUUGGGGGGAUCUAAAGAAAGCUCCCACGGUGGUUCGAGCCCGUGACCUCGCGGUCGCUAGGCGGACACCAUAUCCAUAACACCACGGCGACCUGUUCAUAAAUUCAUUUUCGAUAACGAAGCUUAGGCACCUUUAUAAAAAAAGAGGGAUGGCGGAUUUAGUUUUAUUUAAAUAUUUAUUUUAUUUUUGUGCUCCCCGAAAAUUUUCGGGGAGCAUAUAGUUGCCAGUUUGUCCUUCCUUCCUUACUUCCGUCACACUUUUGUUACAUUUUGUCAUAGCAUCUUCAAUACUUUACCGAUCUCUUUCAUAUUUGGCAUGUAUGUACCUUGCAUGGACCUCUACCUGUUGAUGAGGUUUGAGGUCACUGGGGUCAAGUUCAAGGUCACCGAGGCUAAUAAUAGAUUUUUCUGUCACACUUUUGUUACAGUUUGUAAUAGCACCUUCAAUACUUUACCGAUCUCUUUCAUAUUUGGCAUGUAGGUAUCUUGCAUGGACCUCUACCUUUUGAUGAGGUUUGAGGUCACUGGGGUCAAGGUCACCGAGGCUCAUAAUAGAUUUUUCCGUCACACUUUUGUAACAGUUUCUCAUAUCAGCUUCAAUACUUUACCGAUCUCUUUCAUAUUUGGCAUGUUGGUACCUUGCAUGGACCUCUACCUUUUGAUGAGGUUUGAGGUCACUGGGGUCAAGGUCACCGAGGCUUAUAAUAGAUUUUUCCGUCACACUUUUGUUACAGUUUAUCAUAUCAGCUUCAAUACUUUACCGAUCUCUUUCAUGUUUGGCAUGUAGGUACCUUGCACGGACUUCUACCUUUUGAUUAGGUUUGAGGUCAAUGGGGUCAAGGUCACCGAGGCUAAUAAUAGAUUUUUCCGUCACACUUUUGUUACAGUUUCUCAUAGCACCUUCAAUACUUUACCGAUCUCUAUUAUAUUUGGCAUGUAGGUACCUUGCAUGGACCUCUACCUUUUGAUUAGGUUUGAGGUCACUGGGGUCAAGGUCACUGAGGCUAUUAAUAUAUUUUCCGUCACGCUUUUGUAACAGUUUCUCAUAGCACCUUCAAUACUUUACCGAUCUCUUUCAUAUUUGGCAUGUAGGUACCUUGCAUGGGCCUCUACCUUUUGAUGAGGGUUGAGGUCACUGAGUUCAAGGCCACCGAGGCUAAUAAAAUAUUUUUAGGUGGUUAUUAACACAUCGAUUGACAAAGCGCAUCAUCGGUGAGCAUCCAUCUGUUUCACUGAUAUUCUUGUUGUUUCUGCUCUUGUAUUUACCAUAGUUAAAUAAGAAAAUAAUUGUAUUAAUUGUUUGUUACUAUUGAUCCAUUUUUCACAUAUUUUUUCUAAAUAGUUUUUUAAAUGUCAAUUUAGAGUGUGUUAAAACCAUUUGUUCUCGGCUUGAAUGAUUACGUUUUCAUUGGGCGCCUCAUCUGAUCCAGCUCAUUACUCAAAGAGAAUUGUAAGAUAUUAUAAUACAACAUCAUACAGUGAAA
Molecule: long non-coding RNA, 4012 nt
Organism: Dreissena polymorpha
Lineage: Eukaryota; Metazoa; Mollusca; Bivalvia; Myida; Dreissenidae
Exons: 4
Source: RefSeq, a predicted model, not a curated record